UUGAUCACAUGGAGUAACAGGUGGCUUCAGAACACCCUGGGUCUACCCAGGUCUAUGAUCUGACUCAACUGGCAGAGAUAAUUUGGACAACACAAAAGGGAGUUCUUAAAGUGAUCUGGGCUGGCCACAUCAAAACAGAAGAGGAAUGCCCCCAAAUGCCCUGCCAGGACGCGGCCUGAAUUCCUGACUUGGGCAGCCUCUAGACGUGCAGCAGAACGAGUGAAGAGAAUGGACAACACCACUUCGAACAGCAGGCUGGAGGACGCUGGCUGUGCUGAUCCUUCGCUCACCUUCCCGGGGUGAGCCCUGCUGAGAUGGUGGUGGAGAAAGUGCCCCAACCGU
Long non-coding RNA from Eublepharis macularius, 342 nucleotides. RefSeq lists it as uncharacterized. The transcript has 3 exons. NCBI's taxonomy places the organism in Eukaryota, Metazoa, Chordata, Lepidosauria, Squamata, Eublepharidae. The record is from RefSeq and is a predicted model, not a curated record.